Molecule: ribosomal RNA, 497 nt
Filed under: uncultured bacterium
Lineage: Bacteria
Description: partial 16S ribosomal RNA
Rfam family: Bacterial small subunit ribosomal RNA
Source: RNAcentral
GAUGAACGCUGGCGGCGUGCCUAAUACAUGCAAGUCGAGCGACAGCACGAUAAGCUUUCUUCUCUGCUGUUAGCGGCUGACGGGUGAGUAACACGUGGAUAACCUACCUAUAUGACUGGGGUAAUUUCGGGAAACCGGUGCUACUACCGGCUCAUAUUUUGUACCGCAUGGUUCAAAAGUGAAUGACGGUCUUGCUGUCACUUAUAGCUGGUUCCGCGUUGCAUUUGCUAGUUGGUAAGGUAACGGCUUACCAAGGCAACGAUGCAUAGCCGACCUGAGAGGGUGAUCGGCCACACUGGAACUGAGACACGGUCCAGACUCCUACGGGAGGCAGCAGUAGGGAAUCUUCGGCAAUGGGCGAAAGCCUGACGGAGCAACGCCGCGUGAGUGAUGAAGGUCUUCGGGUCGUAAAACUCUUUUAUUAGGGAAGAAAAGAUGUGGAAUUAACUGUGCAUAUCUUGACGGUACCUAAUCAGAAAGCAACGGCUAACUUCGUG